ACGGUGACGGACGGGUGAGUAAUUUGUAAGAAUCGACAUUCAGGAGGGGGACAACAAUCGGAAACGUUUGCUAAUACCCCAUAUCGCUAUUAAGUGAAAGAUUUAUCGCCUGAAUACGAGCUUGCAUCUGAUUAGCUAGUUGGUAGGGUAAAGGCUUACCAAGGCAACGAUCAGUAGCUGGUUUGAGAAGAUGAUCAGCCACACUGGGACUGAGACACGGAACAGACUCCUACGGGAGGCAGCAGUGAGGAAUUUUCCGCAAUGAGUGAAAGCUUGACGGAGCAAUGCCGCGUGGAGGAGGAAGGCCUUAGGGUUGUAGUCUCCUUUUCUCAUAGAAGAAUUCAUGACGGUAUUUGAGGAAUAAGCAUCGGCUAAUUUCGUGCCAGCAGCCGCGGUAAUACGAGAGAUGCAAGCGUUAUCCGGAAUUAUUGGGCGUAAAGAGUUAGUAGGUGGUUCAAUGUGUUUAAUGUUAAAGAUCCGAGCUCAACUUUGAAAUGGCAUUAAAAACUAUUGUACUUGGGUAUGAUAGAGGUAAAGGGAAUUCCCAGUGUAGCGGUGAAAUGCGUAGAUAUUGGGAAGAACACCAACGGCGAAAGCACUUUACUAGGUUAAUACUGACACUGAGAAACGAAAGCUAAGGUAGCAAACUGGAUUAGAUACCCAGGUAGUCUUAGCUGUAAACAAUGGAUACUAAGUGGUGCUUUUCAUUUGUGCUGCUGUAGUUAACACGUUAAGUAUCCCGCCUGGGGAGUACGCUUGCAAAAGUGAAACUCAAAGGAAUUGACGGGGGCCCGCACAAGCGGUGGAGCAUGCGGUUUAAUUCGACAACGCGAAGAACCUUACCCAGGCUGGACAUGCAGGUAGUAGAAGGGUGAAAGCCCAACGAGGUAGCAAUACCAUCCUGCUCAGGUGCUGCAUGGCUGUCGUCAGCUCGUGCCGUGAGGUGUUGGGUUAAGUCCCGCAACGAGCGCAACCCCUGUCUUCAGUUACCAACGGGUCAUGCCGGGAACUCUGGAGAGACUGCCCAGGAGAACGGGGAGGAAGGUGGGGAUGACGUCAAGUCAGCAUGGCCUUUAUGCCUGGGGCUACACACGUGCUACAAUGGCCGGUACAAAGCGCUGCAAACCCGUAAGGGGGAGCCAAUCGCAAAAAACCGGCCUCAGUUCAGAUUGAGGUCUGCAACUCGACCUCAUGAAGGCGGAAUCGCUAGUAAUCCCGGAUCAGCACGCCGGGGUGAAUACGUUCCCGGGCCUUGUACACACCGCCCGUCACACCACGAAAGUUUGUUGUACCUGAAGUCGUUGGCGCCAACCGCAAGGAGGCAGACGCCCACGGUAUGACAGAUGAUUGGGGUGAAGUCGUAACAAGGUA
RNAcentral lists this ribosomal RNA (1371 nucleotides) under metagenome. Its description in RNAcentral is "bacterial SSU rRNA". It matches the Rfam family "Bacterial small subunit ribosomal RNA". The record is from RNAcentral.